RNAcentral lists this ribosomal RNA (213 nucleotides) under Helotiales sp. RNAcentral's name for it is "partial large subunit ribosomal RNA". Lineage: Eukaryota; Fungi; Ascomycota; Leotiomycetes; Helotiales. The record is from RNAcentral.
AAGCGCUUGUGACCAGACUUGUGCCCGGCGGAUCAACCAGCGUUCUCGCUGGUGCACUCCUCCGGGCUCAGGCCAGCAUCGGUUUUCAUAGGGGGAUAAAGGCCUUGGGAAUGUGGCUCUCUCCGGGGAGUGUUAUAGCCCAAGGUGCCAUGCAGCCCACCUGGACCGGGGACCGCGCUCCGGCUAGGAUGCUGGCGUAAUGGUUGUAAGCGA